GGCUGAUGACGAGGUACCCGCUCUGAGCCAGUUGGCACCUGGUUGUGAAGAGCCCUAUGAGUGCCGAGGCC
This 71-nucleotide small nucleolar RNA is filed under the name Haloquadratum sp. J07HQX50. Lineage: Archaea; Methanobacteriati; Methanobacteriota; Halobacteria; Halobacteriales; Haloferacaceae. The record is from RNAcentral.